AGUGGAUGGGGAGCAACCUAGUUGUGCGUGUGUAAAGGUAGUGCCAAGAAAAGCGAUGAUCAUGUUGAAAAUCAAUUCCCGGUACCCGAAACCGACACAGGUGGGCAAGUAGAGAAUACUAAGGGGCGCGAGGUAACUCUCUCCAAGGAACUCGGCAAAAUGACCCCGUAACUUAGGGAGAAGGGGUGCCACCGAGAGGUGGUCGCAGUGAAGAGGCCCAGGCGACUGUUUAGCAAAAACAUAGGUCUCUGCAAACUCGAAAGAGGAGGUAUAGGGGCUGACGCCUGCCCAGUGCCGGAAGGUUAAAGAAGUUGGUCAGUUUUAGGAUGAAGCUAGCGACUGAAGCCCCGGUGAACGGCGGCCGUAACUAUAACGGUCCUAAGGUAGCGAAAUUCCUUGUCGGGUAAGUUCCGACCCGCACGAAUGCGUAACGAUCUGGGCGCUGUCUCGGAGAGAGGCUCGGCGAAAUAGGAUUGUCUGUGAAGAUACGGACUACCUACAUUUGGACAGAAAGACCCUAUGAAGCUUUACUAUAGCUUGGAAUUGUGUUCGGGCUUCCUGUGCGCAGGAUAGGUGGGAGGCGUAGAAGGUAUUCUUGUGGGGAUACUGGAGCCAACGGUGAGAUACCACUCUCAGGAGGCUAGAAUUCUAACUUAAUUAAGGACAGUUUCAGGUGGGUAGUUUGACUGGGGCGGUCGCCUCCAAAAAGGUAACGGAGGCGUACAAAGGUUCCCUCAGACUGGUUGGAAAUCAGUCGAAGAGUGCAAAGGCAGAAGGGAGCUUGACUGCGAGAAGUACAGUUCGAGCAGGGUGGAAACACGGUCUUAGUGAUCCGACGGUGCUGUGUGGAAGGGCCGUCGCUCAACGGAUAAAAGUUACUCUAAGGAUAACAGGCUGAUCUCCCCCAAGAGUUCACAUCGACGGGGAGGUUUGGCACCUCGAUGUCGGCUCAUCGCAACCUGGGGCGGAAGUACGUCCCAAGGGUUGGGCUGUUCGCCCAUUAAAGCGGUACGUGAGCUGGGUUCAGAACGUCGUGAGACAGUUCGGUCCAUAUCCGAUGUAGGCGUGAGAAUAUUGAGAGGAGCCUUCCUUAGUACGAGAGGACCGGGAAGGACGCACCGCUGGUGUACCUGUUAUGAUGCCAAUUGUAAACGCAGGGUAGCCAAGUGCGGAGAGGAUAACCGCUGAAAGCAUCUAAGUGGGAAGCCCACCUCAAGAUGAGUAUUCUGGUGUAAGGUCACGGGAAGACGACCCGUAAAUAGGCACGAGGUGGAAGUGCAGAGAUGUAUGAAGCCGAAGUGUACUAAUAGACCGUCGGCUU
Molecule: ribosomal RNA, 1321 nt
Filed under: metagenome
Description: bacterial LSU rRNA
Rfam family: Bacterial large subunit ribosomal RNA
Source: RNAcentral